AACGAACGCUGGCGGCAUGCCUAACACAUGCAAGUCGAACGAGACCUUCGGGUCUAUUGGCGCACGGGUGCGUAACGCGUGGGAACCUUCCCUUAGGUUCGGACUAACUCCCCGAAAGGGGUGCUAAUAGCGGAUAAUGUCUUCGAACCAAAGAUUUAUUGCCACUGGAUGGGCCCGCGUUGGAUUAGCUAGUUGGUAAGGUAAAAGCCUACCAAGGCGACGAUCCAUAGCUGGUCUGAGAGGAUGAUCCGACACACUGGGACUGAGACACGGCCCAGACUCCUACGGGAGGCAGCAGUGGGGAAUAUUGGACGAUGGGCGAAAGCCUGAUCCAGCAAUGCCGCGUGAGUGAUGAAGGACUUAGGGUUGUAAAGCUCUUUUACCCGGGAUGAUAAUGACGGUACCUGGAGAAUAAGCGCCGGCUAACUCCGUG
This 433-nucleotide ribosomal RNA is filed under the name uncultured bacterium. RNAcentral describes it as "partial 16S ribosomal RNA". It matches the Rfam family "Bacterial small subunit ribosomal RNA", at positions 29 to 507 of the family's 1533-position model. The record is from RNAcentral.